Molecule: ribosomal RNA, 496 nt
Filed under: uncultured bacterium
Lineage: Bacteria
Description: partial 16S ribosomal RNA
Rfam family: Bacterial small subunit ribosomal RNA
Source: RNAcentral
GAUGAACGCUGGCGGCGUGCCUAAUACAUGCAAGUCGAGCGAACAGACGAGGAGCUUGCUCCUCUGACGUUAGCGGCGGACGGGUGAGUAACACGUGGAUAACCUACCUAUAAGACUGGGAUAACUUCGGGAAACCGGAGCUAUACCGGAUAAUAUAUUGAACCGCAUGGUUCAAUAGUGAAAGACGGUUUUGCUGUCACUUAUAGAUGGAUCCGCGCCGCAUUAGCUAGUUGGUAAGGUAACGGCUUACCAAGGCAACGAUGCGUAGCCGACCUGAGAGGGUGAUCGGCCACACUGGAACUGAGACACGGUCCAGACUCCUACGGGAGGCAGCAGUAGGGAAUCUUCCGCAAUGGGCGAAAGCCUGACGGAGCAACGCCGCGUGAGUGAUGAAGGUCUUCGGAUCGUAAAACUCUGUUAUUAGGGAAGAACAAAUGUGUAAGUAACUAUGCACGUCUUGACGGUACCUAAUCAGAAAGCCACAGCUAACUACGUG